RNAcentral lists this long non-coding RNA (14433 nucleotides) under Phaseolus vulgaris (common bean). RNAcentral describes it as "long non-coding RNA (PVUL_LNC004221)". Lineage: Eukaryota; Viridiplantae; Streptophyta; Magnoliopsida; Fabales; Fabaceae. The record is from RNAcentral.
ACUGGUAGCCGGAGUUGUAAGCAUAGCGGUGACCGGUGUUCUGGGUUUUCAUGACCCUGCGUUUGGCAUCAGUUCUGGUGCCCAAAUACAUGGCACGGUAUUCCUCAUUGGUGAUAUCAGCAAAUUUGUUCAACCCAAGUGUGUAUGUGUUGUUCUGAGCGUUGUGGUCUUGUAUGAAUCCUAGGUUGUCCUUGAACACUUGAAACCUCUUUUCCUUCUCAUCCAACCCAUUGUACACCUUCCGGUGCUUCAUCAACCACUCCUCGUACAUGUCCAUGACCUCGUUUUCGGAGUAAUUGAUGAUGGAGAUGGCGGUGGCAUGUGAGAACGUGAAGGAAAGGAGGAGCAAGGUGGGUAUCAGCAUUGAAGGCAUGGUUGGUGUGAGGAAGAGAAGAGGAGGGUGAAAGGUUGAAUGGUUGUUGAUGAAGAAGAAGAGGGAGUGGUGAGUUUAUAUAGAGGGGAGUACUGUAAGCAAUUGAGUUAGGGAAAUAAAGGAAUGGUAAAGAGAACUGUCACACCACGUGGCUUCUCAGAAUGAAUAAUUGCAAACUCUGUUCCUUUCAUUAUUGGCGUUUUAGUAAAUUCGUUAAUACAUAGUUAUUUUUACGAAACUCAUGUAGUUUAAUUGCUUAUUUUUAUACAUAUACCACUCUUUUUAUUUUUAUUUCUUCCAUCUAACACUUUUACUUUUAUUUUUUCUAAUUAUCAUUAUUUUUUUUUCUAUAUUUCAAAAAUAAAUAAAUAAAUUACAUAACAAUAAAAAAAAACAAAAUCAAUUAAUAUUAAUUAAAUUUAUUUUUAUUUUUUAUCUUUUAUCUUUAUCUUAAUUUUUAUUUUUAUUUUAUAUAUAUAUUUGUUAGUUAUUAUUAUUUUUCUGUCAUUUUUUAUUUAUUUCUGCUUCUAUUUUUAUUUUUAUCGUUAUUGUUUUUAUUUUCUAUAUUUAUUUAUUUUAAAAAAAUCUUACUUUUAAGCAUUAAGUAUAGUAUUUGUAUUAAUUUUUUUUAGAAUUUUGCAUUUAGGUAGACACUUCAAUAUUAUCUGAAUGUCCACUAUUAAUUAAUACUAAUUGAUUUUGAUUUUUUUAUACUUAUGUGUCCUGUAUUUUUUACUUGAAAUUAACAAGAUUACAUCAUCAAUAAUAAUAAAAAUAAAUACUAAUUUAUGUUUAUAGAUUUAACUUUUAUGUUGUUAUAUGGUUUAAUUUUUUAUUUUCUUCAAUCUUAAAAAAAAUUAAACUAAACAUUUUUAAUUUACUACUUUUUUAUUUUUAUUUUGUAAAAACUCAUUUCUUUAUUCAUUAAUUAUAAUUCUAACUAUUUUAAACAUUAAAAAUAUUUAUUUUUUUAAUGCAUUCAAAAUUAAAAUUAUUAAUUUUUUUAAUUUAUUAAAAAAAAUUUACUUUUGAACUGUGUUAGAUAAGAAAAUAAAAACAAAAUGGUGCUAUAUAAGAAAAUAAAAACAAAAUGAAAUAGAUGGAGAAAUAAAAAAUGUAAAUAGUGUUAUAUGAGAGAUUGGGUCAUUUAAUUAAUUGAACAUUAAUAUCAUGGAUUUCAUUUAUUUGACAAACAAUUAUAUUUAUUAAAUACUAGUGUAAAUGAAACAUUUUGUGCUUCUAUAUAUUUUACAAAAAAAAUAUUAAUAAUAAUAUUAUAGAACACUAACUUUUAGUAUUUAGACAGUUUAUUUUUAUUUAUUUUUUAUAAUUUUAAAAUAAAACUAAAAAUAUAAUAAUUUAUCUUCUUUAUGUAUAUUGUUAUAAUUUUUUUAAUUUUAAAAUACAAUUAAGAAUAAAGUAAGAAUUAAAAUGUAUAGACAAAAGGAAGAUUUUUUAUAUAUAUUGUUAUAGAUGUUGUAAUUUUUUAAUUUUGAAAUAUAAUUAAUCGUAUGAAAUGUGUAUAGAAAAUGGGGAAUUUUGAUCUUAUAUUCUUAUAGAUAAAUAUAAGUAAAUUUUAAUUCUUCAAAAUUUAUUUAAUAUUAGUAUUUUAAAAAUAUAUUUAUAUAUAAUUCAAGAACCAUCUUCAAAUAAUAUUACCAAGAAUAAUUUAGAAAAUAUAAGUAUAUAUUAUAUGAAACCAAUAAUGUUAGAUCAACUUAACUAUUGUUCUUAGUAGGCGUAAAUUAGUUAGUUUAGCUCAUGUAUGAAGAAGUAAAUAUUAUUCCAUUUUUUUGUUUUAUUUAGAGUAAAUUGCACUAUAAUUUAAAAAAAAAUUGAUAAAAUAUUAACUUUAUCUCUUAAUAUUUCUAUUUAAUAAAAUAAGAAAAUAUAUUAGUAAAAUGGUAAUAUAUUUUGAGUUUCGUUAGUUUAGUAAUUAGGAUAAUUAGUAUAAAAAAUAGAAUUCUUCUUAAAAUAGUACAUAAAAGCACUUAAGUUAAUAUAUAUAUAUAUAUAUAUAUACACGGUUGAAAAUACAGAAAAGUUUAAGUAUAUUAACUUCGACUAAAUUAACUUUUUACGAAAGUAAACAUUGAUUUUUUUUUAUGUUCUUAAAAUAAUUUAUAUACUUUUUAAUUUAUUUAUUUUUUUAUUAAGAAGAGUUAAAAGUAUUACUCAAAAUAUUAUUUGAUUUGAUCAAUCCUUUUAUGAAAAAAGUAGUUUAAAGCAGACUUGAAAUAUGGAAUCUCAGUUAGAUUACUUCUAGAGUAUAAAACCAUGGGAAGUACUUUUUUAGUAAGAAAAACUCUGUAAGUAACUUUUUUUAAUAUAUAAACAACUUUUUUUUAAUUUUAAAUAAUUUAACACAUAGACACACGUGUAAUUUAUAUUAAAAAUAAUAUUUUUAUUUUUCAGAAAUUCAAUUGAAAAGGUUUACGGGAAAAUGUCCCAAUGGGAUGCCAUUAUAUAUAAGAUUACUUUAAUUCUUUAAAUUAAUACUGUGUGUUAAUAUAUAAAGAUAUUUUGAAUAUCACUACAAAAGUAGCGUUGAUGAUAAUGGUACAUAAAAAGAAACAAAAUUCUUCCUUCUUAAGUGAGUAAAGAAUUUAUCAUAUUUUUUUUCCAUUGUUUAAGUGUGGAAGAUGGUGGCAAUGGCUAUGUUUUUUGCGUUGUUGAAAAUAAACAUUGCCAUGUAUACAGUGCUUCCAGUUUUCUUCCAACAGAAGGAUUCCGUUUACUUUCGAGUUAAUCUACCUACAACCUUUCUUAGCCUUUUCAGUGGGUCUUCCAUCACUACUUUCACUUUACCAAAUUGGAUAAUUCUCAGUUAUAAAUAAUAACUAGUUAAUCAAACAAUAAAUAUUACUGAAGGAAUCAUUUUAAAUUCUCCCAUAGUGCUUUGCUUAUUAAAUUUGAAAAAAAAUUCAAAAUUAGCUAAUAUUUACUUUUAUAUAAAGUAAUAGGAGAAUUUGUUAGAAUGGUAUGUGUGAUAGCAUAGCCUUAGCAGUGAAGGGAAUGAAUCCCUACCUUUUCUUAAUGAAAGGAAGUGAAAUCCUUUUUACCUUUUUACUUUGAGGUCUUAAGUUGUUUAUGGAAAGAGUGGAGAAUGGGAAGAUAAAGAUUGUUGGUUUGAGUUAUGAUAUGCAGAUAAGUUGUUUAUAUUGCAUCACGAGUUUGAAAAAAAGUUGGAAUUCCUGCAUAAUGGGCACAAUUCAUAUCAUGUUGUAUCCACAAGUUGCAAAGGGAUGAGAGUUGGAGUGUGAUUGCAUUUGCAUGUGAUAGUUGCAACUCAGAGGCAUGGAUGAGAAUCAGAGAUAUCAGAGAUAUGCGCAACUUGCAACAACUUGGGAACUCUUUCAAGGGCAUGGCUCCCCUGACUUUGGAAAUUAAAAUAUUCCCUUAUCUUCAAAACAAUUCAAUAAUUUUAUUUGGAACUAUAUUGAUUUUCAAUGCUUGCAAGCUAUGUAGUUAGACAUAUUUUUUGAAAAACUAUUCCUCCGUAUAACUCUUCACCACCAUCUCUUUCACUCAAUAAUUAACUAUAAUCUAUAUAAUUUAUCUAACAUGAACAAUGAUACGAUAUGAACAUGAAUAUAAAGAUGCGUAUAUCUUUUAAAAUAUAAAAUACGGGAAUAUGGAUCUAUAUAUUAUAUAAUUAUAAAUUAUAUUAAUUAACAAUAAAUAUUUAUGUGCACAAGUAUGUUUUAUAUUUUUUUAGACUAGAAAGAUAUUUUUUAUGAUUGAUUCAAAAUAAUUUAUUUUUUAUUUUUAUAAUCAAAAUAAAAAUUUAUACAAUAAAUUUGAGUUUUUAAAAAAUUAAUGUAUUUUUCUUUUUUAAAUUGUGUUAAAACCGUACUAAAAUUAUCGAAAAUCUAAUAAAUAUUUUUUUGAAAUUGAACACUCUCAAUAUGUGUCAUACGAAUGUCGAUGUCCGAUACAUAUGUCCGACACAAACACGCCAUUUAAAAAAAUAUUCGAGAUUCAUAAGCCAUAACUCACUUCAAAAUAAUCUUUAUUUAUUAUCUUUUUAUCAUGAACUCAAAGACUAACUCUGAUCUUAGAUUAGUUUCUUGAGUUAUGUCUAACUUGAACCUUAAUCAACAUAUAUAUAUAUAUAUAGAUAGAUACACACCUUCAAUUUUAACUAUCAAUAACAAUAAUAUUUAAGUUAUCAGCGGCUAUAUUUGGUGGACGGAAAACAGAAAGAGAAAAAACCUAUGUAUUACAAAUAAAACUCAUUUUACUCUAUCUUUUUUUAAUGUAAAAUAAAUCAAAUACGCCUAACCAUACUAACCAUCCAAUGGAAAAUCCUCUUCAGAUAAUCAACUGUAAGAAUUUUGAUCAUUUAAAAUGUUUUUCUAAUAUUAAAGCAAAAUACCUGUCAUCUGAUUGUAUUAUAUAUAUAUAUAUGCAGAUGUUGUUUAAUUUUGAACUACAAGGACAUGGGACGGUUAAAUUAAAAAAUACAGGAUAUGGAACACGGCAUAUGAACAAAUUAAAACAUAUUAUUUAAAACAUACUAAUAUACUUUCUAAUCUGAACAAAUUAAAAAAAAACAUUUAUAAAAAAAUCUAACAAAAAAUAAAUAUAUUUAAAUUAUAAUGUUUUUCAUUUGUUCAUCUUCAUUAAAAAAUACAACUUAUAAUUUUGAUUCAUCAUCAGAUAAAUUAAGAUAAAUUAGCAAUUUCAAAAAUUCUAUUUUUAUUUAAUAAAAAAUCAUCUCCUGCAAUAUCCACAAUUUAGUUUUCUCUUCUUUAUAUUUUGAGGAAUUUCUUGAUAGAAGAUAGAGAUUACUAUGGAUAAUAUUUUAUUACAUUUAUAUCAUCUUAUAAAUAUUUAUCCAAGCUCUUUACUUUCAUUUUUAACAAAAAUUAUCUAACUCUUUGUCGGUGCCUUCACAGUCUUUGUCCCAACUCUUCAUCUUCUUCGUUCUCCUUCACACUUAGAAGUAUCCAUCAUGUGUCCACAAAUUGGGUCGUGUUUGACCCAGCUCAAUGCCUCCAACACAAUGUCGUCCUCGUGUUUAUCAGUAUCCGUGUCCGAUAUACGUCCAACACACAAAAGCGAAAAUCACUCGCCGUGUCGGAGCUUUAUGAAAUAGGGGUGAUAUAAUCGUAAUUUUUAAAUAUUACUCUGUUCUUUUUUUUAUUUAUGUUUUAAGAUAAUGCACCUAUUUGGAAAUUAUUAAUUAAAAAAAUAUUAUCAUAAAUUUAAUUUUUGGAAAAAUUGCCCUCGUUAAGAAGUUAGAACAUAAUUAUGAAUAUAUUUAAAUUUUUAUACGAAAAUUCCCUAUUGUUAAAAGAACAAUUAUGAGUUUUCUUAAAUAAUAAAUAUUUUAAGAGAAACUAAAAGAUCUUGAGAAGGCAUAUAAUUAAGAUGAAGCAAAAGGAAUCAUUGAUGGUAUCCAUGAAUACUUAAUUAUUCAAAUAGCAUCAAAAUGCAAAAUUGUGGCCAGGCCAUUCAUGGAGUAUGCUGCCAACAAACAAGUCCCAAGGAAGAUAGAUUCUAGAUUCGUUUGAAUCUUCAUGUCAUGUGCUAUGUAGCUAAAAUAUAUUCAUAUGUUUUAUAAAAAAGUUUUUAAGUAUAAUUUCAAUAAUCAAAUGAUGAUUUUCAAAUUAGUCAUCUUUACAAUUCAACCGUGAUAUUUUUUUAAAUUAUCACAUUUAAAAAUAAAAAAAUUAUUAAAAUGUGGACUCAUAUAAUUAAUUUGAGAAAUUUUGAAAAAUUAUAAAUUUGUAUUUUAACCUUGAUGUUGACAAAGUAAUAUUUUCUUUUUAUAUAUAUACAAAGUUAAAUUAAAAUAGAACUACCAUUUCUAAAUCACAGUUUAGUAGAUGGUAUUAAUGUGGAAUGAAAUAUUUGAUUUAAAUCAUAUAAAUAUUCGUCAUGAGAUAAACAAACAAGAUAACCUCUUUUCAUUUAUAAUAUAACACUUAUCUAUUUAUUUAAAGAAAAACAAAUUGUUGCACUAUUUGAGCUCUAUAUCGUGUUGAAGUUUGUAGCAUGUGUCCCUAACAGGAAGUAUAUUAAAAAAAAAUUCUUACUAAAAAACAUGUUUAAAAAUAGGAUGUAUAUUAAUCUUUUUCCUUACUAAUAAAACAUGUUAAAAAUGUUUUAGACUAAAAGCUUUAAAAAAUUAUUAUUACUCUGAUAAGAUUCUUCUCCAUACAAGGUGAGAAGUUAUCAAAGGUAACUAAGUAUAUGCAUAUGUAUAUAUGUAGUUUUUUUUCCUUUUAGUUAUGUAUAUGUUGAUUUUCAAAUUCUACGAGGUUACUUUCUCAUCAAGUAUUUUAGCUUGAUCUAAUUUUUUAUAUAUAUAAACAAUAAUUCUGGAAUAUAAUUUAUUAUAAGCAUACAUCAAGAAAUCAGUAUCAUCAUAGUUUUACACCUGCCCAUAAUUAAGGGAUAAAAUAAUAUUAAAAAUAUCGAUUAUAGUUUUUAUUGUGAUGUCCAAAAAUAAUAUUUUUGUAAGUUGAUGAAUAGGAAUAUAUGUUCAAACUGUGUAUACAAAUGAGUAGAUCAAUUUAAAGGAAGAUGAUAUUUAUAUUUUUUUUUUUACUUUUUAUAAGUGUACUAUGAGGUAAAAUUUGAUCGAAUGAGUUGGAAUUUCUAAUUCUAAUAGAUUGAUAUUUUUAUUUUAUAGGUUGAAGACCAAGUUUAUUCCAGAAUAGUCACAUUUUUAUAAGAACCACAGGGACUUAUUAGAGUUCCACUUUUUUGAAACUACCAUAAGUGGAAAAACUGUUUGAAAUAAAUCGUUGAUAAAUUGGAGUUGUGUGUUUGAUAAGGUCAAUCCUAUAAUAAAAUCAUUAAAUAAAAAUUAAUUUAAAAAAUAAAAAUUAUUAAUUAUUAUAUUAAUUAAAUUAUUUAUUAUUUUAAAAAUUAAAUAAUAUAUUUAUCUAAUUUUUAUUAUUAUUUAUAAAUAAUUUUUAAAUUAAUAUCUAAUUAAUUAUUAAAAUUUUAACUAUCAAUUAUUAUUUAAAUUUUAACGACACUGAAAUUACAUUUUAAUUUUAUUGAAAAUGUAUUGUGGAUAAUAUAUCCUUUUUAAUUCAGAAAUAUUUUAAAUUAUAUAAUUUAAUAUAAAUUUUGAAAUAUAUAUUUUUCUAAAAGUACCUAAUAUGAAUGCAUUCUAAAAAUGUAUAAUCUGAGACGUACCAUUUAAAAUAAAAAUUUUGUACAAUUUAUAAUAAAAAAUAAAAUAUUUAUAUUUGAAUUAUACAUUCUAAAAGAAACUAAUGUGAGGAAGUUUCUGAAUUGCAAAGUCUUAAACUGUAAAUCAAAAUGCAAAAGCAGAAGAAUAAAUUUGAAAUAUUUAAAUUUAUAGAGCAGCUUGAAAUCAUGGGAGUACAAGAAGAAAAGGCCUUGCUCACAGUGGACCUUGUCCUUAAAGCCCAUGAAAAAUUUAAAGAAAAUUAGGAUAAUUUUUCCUCCACCUUCCUCACAGAAUGAAAUGACAAUUUUAUCUUCCUCUUCAUCUUCUUCACUAAACACCUAUUUUCUCCUUCUCGUUCGCAACAACUCUCCACCUUCAACCCUAACUUCACCUUCUUCGUUUAAUUAAAAAAAAUUAUUCUAAAUUAUAUAAUCUAAAAUAUAUUUCCUUUACUGCGAAUAGUACAAUUUAAAACAAUUUUUUUAGUAUUUUGAAUUCAAAAUACAUUUUUUUUUAUUUAGAUUAUGCUAUUUAAAAUAUUUAAAAAAAUUGUAUUACACACCGAUGACUAAUUUCGACAUGAAAAAAUUGUUUUAGAGAUUUUACAUUGAAAUAAUAUUAUUUGGUAAUAUAUAUAUAUAUAUAUAUUAUUUUUCAUUUUGCUAAAAGAUAAAGGAUGAUGGUCGUGUUUUCUUCUUCAUACUUAUUCAGAAAUGCGAAAACCAUUGUUUUUAACACCUCUUUUAUUAUUAUUAUAAUACUUUCUUAAUGAAAUUUUUUUAAUAUCACAAAUUUUGGUAAGUCCGAUAUCUUAUUCAAUGAAUAUUUAUGAAGAAUAAAAAAUUAUUAAAAACACUGCUUGUACAAAAUUAUAUAAUAAGUAGCUUAAGUAUUAUCAAAUAUCUCAUUAAUAUUAUUGUUACUAGCAGAAACAUGUUGUAAGAAUGUUUUCGUUUUUUUUUAUUUUUAUCAUUUAUAUAUAAUUAUAUUUUAUAUUAAAAAUUAAAUAAAAAAAUAUCAAUUAAAUCAAAUAAUAAGAAGAAAUAAAAAUUAUAUUUUUUAAGAGAGAUGAAAAUAUAAAAAAAUUGUUUCAUAGUAAAAAAGUUUCACGUUUAAUAAAUUGUUUUAAAUUUCACAUUUAUUGAGAAACUACUCUAUAUUUAAAAUUUAAAAUUGAUAACUGUUUUUUACAAAAUAACAUUAUAUUAGUUUUUGAUGGAGAUCCAACGUCGUAACAAUUUUUUUAAAAAUAACUUUCAAUUAAUUUUAUAAUUAAUUAGUUAUUUAGUAAAAAUUUAAAAAUAAAAAUAAAAAAUGACUGAAAUAUAAAAAAAAAAAACUUCCCUCCUCUUCUCUUUCAAUUUAAAACUGUCUUUUUAAGUAUAUCAAAUGUUUGAAAAAAAUAGAAACUGAACGCAAUGUGAUAAUAAAAUAAAACAAAUAUUAAUAUUAGGAUAAAAUAUAAUUUUUUUAAAAUAAUUAAUAUAUAAAUUUAAUAAAAAAUGGAGAUGUCACAUCGUCGUGUUAUAUAAAGAUUUGUUUCAAAUGAGUAAGCAGUUAUAAACUCAUUCACAAAGAUCGCGCACAAUUGGAUACCCCGGAAGGAGGAAAUUACUCACUGCACCCCACCUCGAAGUUGUAAAAUGACAAAAAUAUUCUUAAAUUAAAGGACUACGACGAAUGAAAAAAUAUUUUGGAUUUUUUUCUUUUGAAAUACGUUUUUAUAUUUGGAUUUUUGGAACACUUCUUUUAUUUCUGAAAUUAUUGUUUCGAAUAAUAUUUUGAAUUUUAUUUUUCAAAAACUUGUUUUUUAAAAUAUAACUUUUGUAUUUUGGAAUUACUUUUUUAUAAUGGGAUUUUGAUUUUUCAAUUAUAUUCUAGAAUUCCGUUUUCAUAACACACAAAUCUAUUCUAAGUUUGUUUUGCCGAGAUGUAUUUUUUGGAUUCUAAAUUUUUAAUUUCAGAAUAAAGGACAAUUUUAAAAAUUUAAAAGAUGAUCCUAUGAAAGUCACAGUUUAUCAGUUGCAGGAAUGAUUUACCUCGGAAAGAUUGAUAGGAUGAGUUUGGAAUGAGAAUGUUAAGAUCACAAAAGAAAAAAAAAAUUAAAAAAGUAGUCUUUGACAACUGCAAGGAAAAAUAUUUCCUCUUCACCAUUGUGACAUGACACAGAGUUCUUAUAUGGUGAAGAUUAAUUUUGUCUUUAUAAAGAAUUAAAAUUUUGAAAUAUGCUAAAAGGAGUAUUAGGAAAGUAUAGAUGAGGUCAAGUUUAAGUUUAAGGGAUUUUUAACGAACUUAGGUGAAAGAGUGUUUGAAUUUUGACUCAAUGAGUGCUUAACUCAUGACUCAAUCGAAAUCAGGAGGAUUAGUGACUCAAUCCGAAUCAGAAAACAAUCUUAUACUGAAGAGAUUGUAAGAAAGGACAAAAGUGCGAGCAUAAAUCUCGUACAUAUACAAAAAAUCAUCUCACAUGUGAAGGAUUAAUCAAGGAAGGAGUGAGAUUAUUACUACUACCACUACAAAAUGGAGAAAGAUAACACAGGAAAAAAAUAAAAAAGAAAGAAAUAAUAAAAAUAAGUUUUGAAUUCAUUUACAUUAAAAUGUCACUCCCAUCUAUUAAAAAAUAAUAAUUAUGCCACAAGUCACUCAAGAAAAUUUUGUCUCAUUAAAAUUAUAUUAAUAUGUAUACAAAUAUAAGAAACAAAGAGUAAGGUAAAAGUCAUGUGCAUAACUAAUCGUACUGAAUUUACUUUAUUUGAUGAAGAUAUAGAAAUAAAGAAAAAUAAUAUAAGAAUGAGUGACAAAAAAUUGUUUGGUUAAAAUAAAAAGGUAUUUAUUGUUAAUUAUUUUAUUUAUUUUAAUUUAUUUUUAAUAUUUUUUUUCAAUUAAUUAUUUUUAUUAUUAUAUAAAAAAAAUUUGCUAUUUGAAUAACAGAAUCGAUGGAAUACUUGUCUUAAUUUUUGUGGGACAAUCAGGUUUAGGGUAACUCAUAUUUUUCGUGAAGGGAAUGCGUGCUGAUAAGUUGGCUAAUUUAGGAUUUAUUCAUAGAGAAUCUUUUCAUUGGUAUAAUAGACUCCCUGCUAGUCUGUUCUUAGAAUUCUUUAUGAAUAGGUAUAAUCUACCUAUGUAUCGUUUGUGUUAACAUAUGGGUUUUGGUCUAGUCCCCCCAUAUUUUUGUAUUUUCUUUUUUUAAUAAUAUUUUUUCAUGUGUGGCAGAUGAUUGUUGUUACUUGAGGUGUCAGCUUAGCUGAGAUGUCAAGUUGCAUAGUGAUGCCUAACACGAAAACUUUAUAAAAAAAACAUAAUCUUUUGUAUUUAUCUUUGAUUGACUUUCUCCAUCUUUUUUUUCUUUUAUCAAUACAAUACCUCUCUUCAUGAACUUUCCUUUAUGGGACCCAAGGUAAGAGAAGUGAAACCAUCUCAAAUACCCAUACAUUGUGUUUGUUUUUAAACGUGAAAAGUGAGAGACCAAAGAAAAAACGACAAAAAUAAAAAUAUAACGAUAUGAGAAAGACACGUUGACUUAUUCUACCAAAAUAAAGAAAAAUCUGGCAAAACAAUACACAAACAAAUAUGAUUAGUUAUAUAAUAAAUAUUAGUAUUAAUAUUAUAUCUGUCAUAAAUAAAUUAUAAAUAUUUAUAUAUUUAAAUUAUAUUAUAAAUAUUUUAUUGAUAUUUCCAUUUUUAUAAUAAUAGUUAAUUGUAAAUAAUAUUAAAAUAGUAAAUAUAAAGUUAUUAAUUAUCAAUAAAUAUGAUUCCUUUUUCCUUUUCUUUUAUUUAAUUUAUUUUAUUCAAUAAAUAUGGGGGACUAGAAAAUAUGUGUAUCUGGAUGAUAUGGCGUAUGAGGAAUUAUGCUAGAUUUCAGGAUAAGAUUGAGGUUUCUAAGACUAUUUCGAUAAUUAAAGAUUUAACUUGUCUAGUGGGAAAUUCGUCUAAAGCUUCAAUGAAGAAUGAUAUGUUGGAUUUCAACGUGAUUAAGUUUUUUGGUAUUAAGACUCGUAGUGGGAAAGUUCUUCGUCCUCUUCCUGUUAGAUGAGAAUUUCCUUCACCAGGAUGAGUUAAAAUUAACACUGAUGGGGCUGCUAGGGAUAUCCCGGUCUUGCUACUUGUUGAGGUAUUUUUCGUGGGAGUAUGGGAGAAUUUAUUGGUGCUUUUUCAGGGUUUCUUGAAGUUCAGACUGUUUUGGUUGCUAAGUUUUAUGAAGUUAUACAUGCUAUGGAGGAAGCUCAAAAGAUGGGACUUACUAAUGUUUGGCUUGAAUGUGAUUUUGUCUUAGUUUGUGUUGCGUUUACUGUUAGGACUAAUGUUCCGUGGAUGCUUCGUAAUCAAUGAAAUACUUGUCUUAAUUUUUGUAAGACAAUCAGGUUUAGGGUUAGUCAUAUUUUUCGUGAGGGAAAUGCAUGUGCUGAUAAGUUGGCUAAUUUAUGGUUCAUUCAUAGAGAAUCAUUUCAUUGGUAUAAUAGACUUCCAUAUAGUUUGUUAUUAGAAUUCUUUAUGAAUAGGUAUAGUAUACCUAUGUAUCGCUUUUGUUAACAUGUGGUUUUGUUAUAGUCCUCCCAUAUUUUUGUAUUUUUUUUUAAUAAUACUUUUAUCAUGUGAUGGCAGAUGAUUGUUGUUACUUGAGGUGUCAGCCUAGCUGAGAUGUCAAGUUGCAUAGUGAUGCCUAACAUGAAAACUUUUAUAAAAAAAAAAUAUAUUUUUUAUUAUUAAUAAAAUUUAUAAGUUAAUUUCUAAAUUAAUAUCUAAUUUACUAUUUUAAAUUAUAAAUUUAGUAACUAAAAUCGGAUAGAUAAAUUUCUAAUUCGUUUUUCAGGAACCUGUUCGUUUCAACUAAUAUAUGUUUCUUGUAAUCUGCGUACAAGGAUAUAAAGUAUUUGAAAAAGUCAAAUACUUUAUGUGUAACAUCAUCUGCAUGCUUAUCCUUUUAAACAAUUUAGGUUAUUGGAAUAAUUUCUACAAUGCCUAAAAUAACGUAUAUCCUUCAAUUCUUCAUAACAUGUAUAGUAUUGUGAAGUCUAUUAAUUCAUAGCAUAGAUAAAAAUUAUAGACUUUUUACGUGGCAAAUUGAUGUCUUAAACAUAAUUUUUUUUCUAGUUCAUAAAACAAUACGUGAACAUGAUUUACCUCGUCCAGUUCGAUUUGUGUUUAAUGAUUUUGUUUAUUCCUGUGAAAAGAGUUUAAAUAUUGAGGGUUCUUUUCAGUUAUUGUGAUUGAGAUUUUUAUACAAUUAUCUAAAUAAUAAAAAAUUGAUACAGUGAUGUUCUUACUAGAAAAAAUUAUAAUAUAUUAUUGCAUUAAAAAUACACUUAAAAAAUAAUUUUAAAAAGGAGAUUGACAACAAAUAAAAACCAUGGAUAAAAUUUAUAUUAUAUUUUUUUUAAUUUUAUCAAUACGGUUUAAAUUAAACAAUGGCACGUAAAUUUUUAAAAAUAAAAUUUUGUAAUAUUUUAAUAAAUUAAACUUAAAUAUGUUGUUUGUUUAUUACUAUAACACGUAAAAUUGAUUUUUAUCUAGUCCAAAUUUUAAAUCUUCUAGAUAUUUAUAGUAACAAAAUUAUUGAAAUGAAUUAUUGUUAAUUAAUUAUCUUACCAUAUGAAAUAUCAAAACAUUCACCUUAACAAUAAGUUAAUAUAAAAUGUUUUAAUAUCCUAAUCUAUAUUUAAAAUUGAAUUAAUUUGUUAUGUCAAAAAAGAGAACUGUUAAAAAUACAUUUCAAAAAUUUCUGUAUUAUAAGUAUUUAUAUAUCUAAAGUUUAAAUUAAAGAUAAAUAUUAAUUUCACAUAAAAAUAAAGAAAAGAAAAACAUAUAUUUGAUGAUAAUAAAAAACUAAUUCAAAAUUAAAAUAGAAUAAAAAUCAACUUGACAUUUAUUUGGUUAUGUCAUUUUAUGAAUAUAUUAUAUAUGUGUAUUUAUUUUGACUUGACUCGUUGAACUUUUUUUUAUACAAUUAUCAAAUUUAUACUUUUCAAUCUACGCGUUUCUGUUUUUGUUUUUUAUUUAGAAUUUAAACAUUGUACAGUACAGUAGCAAAUAUUUAAUUUCAAUGUGACAAUAAAAUUUAUUUAAUAUAUUAAAUUGUCUAACAUAUUAUAUAUACAGAGCAAUGAUUAGAUAAUAAUAUAAAAGUUAUAUAUACGCGCAAAAGAUUUAUUAAAAUAAUAAAAAAAGGUAAAUAUGGUGAAAAUACUUUAAAACUUCAUUUUACUAAUACAGUAAGACGGAUUAUUAACGAAAAACUUGUUGUACUAUAUCGUAUUUAGAUCCUGAUUAACUAUUCCGACGAAUAUAUUUUAGUACCAUAAGUAUAAAUUAAGAAUAAGAUUAACAGAAAAAUUGUAUUUGAUAACAAAUUAAUACAUAAAUUAAUUAUAAAAAUCGUACUAAUCUAAACUCAAAAGUUUAAGAGUCUGACUUAUCUUUAUAAACAGGUUGAUUAAUACUAUAUCAAAAUAUAUAUUUAAUAACAUUUUUCAACUAUUCUAUUCCAAGUUCUAACUUGAACGUAGAAAAACUUCUUACAAAUACUCUUCACCUUUAAUAGAAAUCCGACAAUCAAAUGAAAACAACAGUAGAUACCUAGAAGACUAAAAAAUAUCCGUUAUCAAUAAAAUGAAACCUUCCCAAUCAAAACAAACAAGAACAUAUAUCAUAAAGAUUUUCUUGGUUGGAGCAUUUAUAAAAUGUUUUAUCACCAUAUUUUUUAAUUAACAAGUUUUUCUUUGUGAUAUUUAAUUAACACAGUUAAACCUUCGUUAAUAAGAUGUUAACAAAAAAUACGUUCUUAAAUAAGACACGCUGGAAAACAUUCCUGAAAGCACCUGAUUUCCACUGUUUACAUAUCGAAAGGAUAAAUAUUAGUAUGAGAGAAUAGAUAAGAGGAAAUUGUAGUAUGAAAGCAAAGAGAAAG